Molecule: long non-coding RNA, 147 nt
Organism: Protopterus annectens (West African lungfish)
Lineage: Eukaryota; Metazoa; Chordata; Ceratodontiformes; Protopteridae
Exons: 2
Source: RefSeq, a predicted model, not a curated record
GUACUAUUUGGGGCAAAUGCUGAUGAAGUAUUACGGAAAAUGGAGGAAAAGGCUAAAUCAAUGCAAACUGUGAAAGAAUUUCUGCAGGUUCAACCCCCACGUUUUAGUAGAAAUUGGCCUUCCAAAAACUGGUCCUUUCCUGCCACA